GCUUGAAGAAUCCAGGGCUUAAUUAAAACCAGAGGCGACUAAACCCCGAAGCAGUUGCAUAUGUACGCAAUAACACUUGCAAGUUUGAGCAUCGAAAGCAAAACCAGUGGGUUAUGGAAACGAAGGAGCGAAUGUUUGUGGCGGCGGUGGACGAGAGCGAGAAGAGCAUGUAUGCACUGUCAUGGUGCAUCACCAAUCUCAUGUCCCCUGCACAAAACUACAAGCUUGUGCUUCACUAUGUCAAGCCGCCGCCGCCUGCUCUUUACUCCUACUUCGACGCUGCGGGUUCUACUUGUUAAUUUAUUGUUGUUGUUGUCAACUCAAGGCUACACUUUCCCUUGGGUUUCACUGGCUAAUUUUUGGUGUUAAUAGUGGUUUGAUGUCUAAAGGGCAUAUAUUUGCCGGCGAUUUUGCCGUGGCUAUGGAAAAGUACGGCCGGGAAUUGGCUGAUUCAGUAAUGGAAAGAGCUGAAGCCAUUUGCAGGAAAUUGAACACCACCAAUAAUGUAAUCGCAUGCAUGCGUCCUUGAGCUUUAUUCAUUUGAUGUCCUCCUUCUUAAUUGAAGAGGGCGUGUGUGUUGUGUAUUCUCUGAAGAAGGGUUCAUACAGAUGAACACGGAGAGUGAUAGAGACCGGAGAAGCAAAGGAUGUGAUAUGAAGUACAGUGCAGAAACUGAAGGCUGACAUCUGGUCAUGGGAAGCCAUGGGCGCUCCUAGGAAGUGUCAGCGAUCACUGUGCCCAGCACGCCAAGUGUCCUGUUGUGGUUGUAAAGCACCCAUGAGGAGAAUUUCUUCGUUUGCAGCUACAUCUUAUCCGGAAGCAGAUUGGUGCGUUUACCUUCAGCUUGUAUUCAGCCUGAAAACACAGAUCUGGUUUACUAGCUUGUCCAUGUAUGUUGUGUAUAAAUGUAACAAAAUGUAGAGCCUGCAGACAGAUUAGAGAUUUCUUGAAUGCAUAGUGAUAAAUAAUACCCCCUUUUUCCAAAUUA
This is a long non-coding RNA of Prosopis cineraria, 988 nucleotides long. RefSeq lists it as uncharacterized. The record is from RefSeq and is a predicted model, not a curated record. The transcript is spliced from 2 exons. Lineage: Eukaryota; Viridiplantae; Streptophyta; Magnoliopsida; Fabales; Fabaceae.